CGGCGACCGGCGCACGGGUGAGUAACACGUAUGAAACCUGCCCGUAGCAGGGGGAUAAGCGGAAGAAAUUCCGUCUAAUACCGCGUAACAACCCAUGGAGGCAUCUCUGUGGGUUUAAAGGAAGCGAUUCCGGCUACGGAUGGUCAUGCGUCGCAUUAGCUUGUUGGCGGGGUAACGGCCCACCAAGGCGACGAUGCGUAGGGGUUCUGAGAGGAAGGUCCCCCACACUGGUACUGAGACACGGACCAGACUCCUACGGGAGGCAGCAG
Molecule: ribosomal RNA, 269 nt
Filed under: uncultured bacterium
Lineage: Bacteria
Description: partial 16S ribosomal RNA
Rfam family: Bacterial small subunit ribosomal RNA
Source: RNAcentral